RNAcentral lists this long non-coding RNA (1178 nucleotides) under Hordeum vulgare. Its description in RNAcentral is "long non-coding RNA (HVUL_LNC016899)". The record is from RNAcentral. Lineage: Eukaryota; Viridiplantae; Streptophyta; Magnoliopsida; Poales; Poaceae.
CCACUUUAUUAUUGCCUCUAGGGCAUAUUUCCAAUAGUCUUUUGUGAAUCUUGUUGUUAAUGGAACUAUGGAGCAUGAAUUUUCUAAUUGUCGUAUCAACCUGUGCAUGUAUCUCCCCCGCUUGAUCAAAAGAAGAUCCAUGCUUGGAUUUAGUAUGGGGAUUCAUAUGUGUUUCAUGUAAUCUCAAUAGAAAAGGGAACGAGAACUUUGUUUUGUUCAACAAUCAACAUGGUUGAAACGACAUGAUCAUCAACUCCUCUCCGCAACUUAAUAUUGUCCCUAUUUUCUCUAAGAUCCACCGGUUGGCAAGGCAAAAACUAUCUCAUGUGUCACCCAAAACGAUUAUGAAGGAGCUCAAGGCGUCAUGGAUGCCCAUGUGCUCGUUGUGUCGGGAGCAAAAUGCAUAGAACCAGCAAAUUAGAUGCAUAGAAACAUUGAUGCUUCACACCAGACCCAAGUUAAUAGCAACAUGGUUGUUGCUUCACAUCAGAUCCGUGCUAAUGUGAUGGUACUCCUAUUCAAGGGUGAGACGGCAGUGUGCUUCUAUAUAACGCAAGAAGAAAGAUGGAACAUGGUCAUUAGUCCGGGACGGGCGUUUGGCUAUUCAGUCAUUAGUCAUUCUUCAAAACUGAGCUUAGGAAAUAGUAGGGUCGAGCCCUUCACAACGACUUGAAAUUGCUUUUGCAAUGUUUUCAAAUAUCCUAGGACUUGGAAGCAUCGGGAUUUAAGACUGCAUCAAUUUGAGGUUGUACAUAACGAGGUCUCUGUGUGAUGGUUAGCUACAGAUGGUCUCCUGGUCAAGUAUGUGGAGGUGUGCUAGUGACCAGACUAGCAUACUCUCGACAUUUUUGGUUCACCGUGACACGACACAUGCAGUAGGUUGGGUCCCUCUUGGGGUAUUGGGAUAUCAAGUUUCCCUAGUUGCUAUUGGGAGACAUGUCCUCCUACUUGUUGUCGGUGUGGGUGCGAUGACAUUUGACAACCAUUUCCUCUAAAAAAGGCAUGAGGUCCAAAUCUCCUAGCUCUAUCCACACGUGAAGUGUUGCUUGCAAGUAUAAUGUGAGUGUGGUUAGGUUAUGUUCCUACAUCAAUGAAAUAGCACAUGAGAGAAUGUCCUAUAUUAUAUUUGAUCAUCUAAGGAAGCUCAAUAUAAUUAUUUAGAGCUCUCAAGCAAAAAU